CUUCACACUGACAUGAUGCUGGUGACUCUCUGUGCUCUCAUCUCUGCUCUAACAUGUGUGAGUGGUGUGACGGUGCUGACACAGAAACCUGUUUUAUCAGUGAGGAAAGGAGAGACAGCCACCAUGGACUGUAACCUGGGGACUGUUACUGGCAGUGCUGCUCGGUGGUAUAAACAGAUUCCAGGUGGAGUUCCUCAGUUUGUGCUGAGGUUUUAUCAUAGCUCUAGUUCUCCAACCUAUGGCUCUGGGUUCUCUGCUCCAAAAUUCACAUCCACUCAUCAGUCAAGAUCAGAUUAUCGUUUGAUCAUCAACAAUGUGGAGGAGGGAGACUCUGCAGUCUAUUACUGUCAGACAUGGGACAGCUCUGCUGCUGUAUCACAGUGA
This is a non-coding RNA of Pundamilia nyererei, 384 nucleotides long. Lineage: Eukaryota; Metazoa; Chordata; Actinopteri; Cichliformes; Cichlidae. The record is from the annotation of a RefSeq genome assembly.